This 389-nucleotide long non-coding RNA is filed under the name Homo sapiens (human). RNAcentral's name for it is "non-protein coding lnc-GPR17-2:1". Lineage: Eukaryota; Metazoa; Chordata; Mammalia; Primates; Hominidae. The record is from RNAcentral.
GUGCAUGCCUCUAGUCCAGCUAUUUGGGAGGCUGAGGUGGAAGGAUCCUUGAGGCCAGGAGUUCAAAGUUAUGUUGAGCUCUGAUGACGCCACUGCACUCCAGCCCAAAUGACAGAGUGAGACCCUGUCUCCAAAAAAGAAAACAAAGAAAGGAAACAACAACAACACUUUCUUUGCUCAUCUAUAAGAAGCAACUCCUGGCUGGCAAGAUGACUUAUGCCUGUAAUCCCAGCACUGUGACCGGCUGAGGCAGGUGGCUCACUUGAGCUCAGGAGUUCAAGACCAGCCUGAGCAACAUGGUGAAACCUCAUCUCUACUAAAAAUACAAAAAAUUAGCCGGGCGUGGUGAUGUGCACCGGUAGUCCCAGCUACUCAGGAGGUUGAGGUGG